This 514-nucleotide ribosomal RNA is filed under the name uncultured bacterium. RNAcentral's name for it is "bacterial SSU rRNA". It matches the Rfam family "Bacterial small subunit ribosomal RNA", at positions 19 to 518 of the family's 1533-position model. The record is from RNAcentral.
UCUGGUCAGAACGAAGCUGGCGGCGCGUCUUAAGCAUGCAAGUCGGACGGCAAGGGUAGCAAUACCCCUAGAGUGGCGGACUGGUGAGUAACGCGUGGGUGACCUGCCCUUGAGAUGGGGAUAGCCAUUAGAAAUAGUGGAUAAUACCGAAUACGCUUGCUGUCACUGUGGUGAUGCAAGGAAAGGAGCUACGGCUCCACUCAAGGAUGGGCCCGCGUCCCAUUAGCUAGUUGGUGAGGUAACGGCCCACCAAGGCGACGAUGGGUAUCCGGCCUGAGAGGGUGUACGGACACAUUGGGACUGAGAUACGGCCCAAACUCCUACGGGAGGCAGCAGCUAAGAAUAUUCCGCAAUGGACGAAAGUCUGACGGAGCGACGCCGCGUGGAUGAAGAAGGCCCGAAAGGUUGUAAAAUCCUUUUGCUGAUGAAGAAUAAGUGUGGUAGGGAAUGACCAUAUGACUGACCCAUUAGUCGGUCGUAAGUAAGCCCGGCUAACUACGGUGCCAGCCGCUGC